Molecule: ribosomal RNA, 569 nt
Filed under: Aporcelaimellus sp. GSb34
Lineage: Eukaryota; Metazoa; Nematoda; Enoplea; Dorylaimida; Aporcelaimidae
Description: SSU rRNA
Rfam family: Eukaryotic small subunit ribosomal RNA
Source: RNAcentral
CGGCGUUAAUAUACGACCCGAUUAGCAGCUUCCGGGAAACCAAAGUUUUUCGUUUCCGGGGGAAGUAUGGUUGCAAAGCUGAAACUUAAAGGAAUUGACGGAAGGGCACCACCAGGAGUGGAGCCUGCGGCUUAAUUUGACUCAACACGGGAAAACUCACCCGGCCCGGACACCGUAAGGAUUGACAGACUGAGAGCUCUUUCUUAAUUCGGUGGGUGGUGGUGCAUGGCCGUUCUUAGUUGGUGGAGCGAUUUGUCUGGUUAAUUCCGAUAACGAACGAGACUCUGGCCUAUUAAAUAGACGAUUUAUUCGAAAAGUAGAUCGCGCUUCUUAGAGGGACAAGCGGCGUCUAGCCGCAUGAAAUAGAGCAAUAACAGGUCUGUGAUGCCCUUAGAUGUCCGGGGCUGCACGCGCGCUACACUGAAAGAAUCAGCGUGCUAAACGCCUAGUUCGGAAGGACCGGGUAACCCAAGUAAAUUCUUUCGUGCUUGGGAUAGGGAAUUGCAAUUAUUUCCCUUAAACGAGGAAUUCCCAGUAAAUGCGGGUCAUAAGCUCGCGUUGAUUACGUC